AUAAACUGGAGACAAAGCAUGACCAGUCUUGAUACAUGUCCCUCUGCAAUACUUCAGAACUGAUAUUUGUAGCUGCCCCUAGGUUCCAGCUAUGAUUUAGUAUCCGAAGUGAUGCAGAUGGGAUCACUGAAACCAGAAGAGGUUGGAUCUAAAGUUGGAUGAGAUGGUACAGGACAGGAACUGGAAAUGGGCUGUGUACUGUGGAGGGGACAUGCAUCUGAACAUCUGUAUUAACUGGUCUUUGGAAUGCUAGUUAACCGGAAUGGAAGACAAAGACAUUGGAAGUGAUGCAUACAAGUUGCUAUAUGCUCAUGGAGACUUUUCUGAAGGUAAACUGUCCCCAGCUAGGCAGAUUCACACAGUGAGAUUGACAGGAGAUGACUACAAGGCCAAGAGAUGGACUGAAAAGAGUUUUCUAAGUUACAUGGUCUCAUCUGAAUACAUCAUGGACAUCUUCACAGUUGAUUUUUUUGAAUUUGAAGGGCACUUCAAAAAGUAAUCAAUGUAAGUAUUUUUAGAGUAAUUUUAAUUUACUGUAAUAUUUUGGAAUUAUAAGUAAUUCUGCAUUUCUGCUCUCCGUGUAAUCACACAAUAUGUACUAAAUGCACAGAACUGACUGAACACCUGAAGAUUUUAGUAUAUGAAAUCUUGGUUUCAAUACUUUCUGCUCUGUAUAGGACUAACAAUCUUUAGCAUAGAGUAGGAAAAUAAUUUCAUAUGCCUUUAAAAUUAAAGUUUUAUGUGAGUCUACCCACCAGGAUUGAUGAAUCAGAUCGACUUCAAAGGGAAAUGGGUUUUCAUGUUGUCUGCUGCUUUCAGUAUUUCUUAUCUGAAAGGGGUAGGAGAUAUUCAUGCAUCUCAAUCUCUCUCAUGCAUUGCAUCUUACUCAAAGUGAUCAAAGCCUUUUGGUUAAUUUCAGUAGAUUUUCAAUAGAUGUUCAAGUCAGUUUUGCUAAUUGUUAGAAGGGAGAGAGGAAAUUUCCAACCACCUGAAAAGUGAGUUGCUGCCCUGAAAUAAAUGCUGAAAAAUGUAGUUUUCCAUCAGUUCCUUGAUUAAUUCGAUACCCAGUGUGGUGCAUUACUUCCUAUGCAGUGUGCCUGCCAUAUGACUAAAUGAAUCUCAUGAGUUUGUUUUUUUAACUGUGUUGUGGAAAACUAUGUUGUGUCUGAAUUGUUAUCUGUACAAAUGAAAUAUCUUCAGUAAAUGUACGAACUUCUAUUUCUUCUUUAAAAAAAGUUUUUAAACUUUAAACAAUGUAUCCAACCUUUCCUGCACUAAAUAUGCCAUUUAGUUUCUUUGCUGACACACACUGUGAUUUUUUUAAGUUACCUUAUGACAAAUGACUGCAUGAAACACAGGAAGUGGAGAGGGUGAGAUAUAAAGCUCAGGUUUAUUAAAGCUUGUCAUCAUGAUAGAAGUGACGUCUUGUACUUGAAAAGCCAACUAUGACUCCCUCCAGCUUGUCUGCACUUGUAAGGUUAGGCUUUAUUUUGCCCAGGGGACAGACUGUGUGAUCCAACAGCUCCUAUAAACAGCACAAUGCAUUGCAAGAGGAGAGGGAUGAGGAACAAAAAACAACAACAACAAAGAAACAACAACAAACUAAAAGGUGUGUUAGGAAAGAUCAGUUAUAUCAGUUAUUAAAAAGUAAUUUGUUUUAUAUUGGUAUUAAAGGAAAAGAAUUCACUUACUUGCUUUCAUAAAUAACAUGUUUUCAACCACUUUUAACUAUACGUACCUAUUAAUUGCUGGUUCAGACUUUAUUUACUAUAUGAUUUAUUCAUGUCUGUGUUAACAGAAAUUUGUGUUCAUUCAGGACCUAUGCCACCUGUGGUAGUAGUGUAUAUGAUGUG
This is a non-coding RNA of Coturnix japonica (Japanese quail), 1853 nucleotides long. Lineage: Eukaryota; Metazoa; Chordata; Aves; Galliformes; Phasianidae. The record is from RefSeq and is a predicted model, not a curated record.